CGUAGGCGGGAUGGCAAGUCGGUCGUGAAAUCCUUCGGCUCAACCGAAGAACGUCGAUCGAUACUGCUGUUCUUGAGGAUUGCAGAGGAGACUGGAAUUCCCGGUGUAGCGGUGAAAUGUGUAGAGAUCGGGAGGAACACCGGUGGCGAAGGCGGGUCUCUGGGCAAUUCCUGACGCUGAGGCGCGAAAGCGUGGGGAGCAAACGGGAUUAGAUACCCCGGUAGUCCACGCUGUAAACGAUGACGACUAGGUGUGGGGGGGUUCAGUCCCCUCCGUGCCGCAGCUAACGCAUUAAGUCGUCCGCCUGGGGAGUACGGCCGCAAGGUUGAA
This 330-nucleotide ribosomal RNA is filed under the name uncultured bacterium. RNAcentral describes it as "bacterial SSU rRNA". It matches the Rfam family "Bacterial small subunit ribosomal RNA", at positions 570 to 898 of the family's 1533-position model. The record is from RNAcentral.